UCCUGGUUAGCUCAAUUCGUAGAGCACUCCGCUGGAAAUGGAGAGGUUCCCGGUUCGAUACCAGAACCGGGCG
RNAcentral lists this transfer RNA (73 nucleotides) under Ixodes scapularis (black-legged tick). It matches the Rfam family "tRNA". Rfam says of the family: Transfer RNA (tRNA) molecules are approximately 80 nucleotides in length. The record is from Rfam by way of RNAcentral. Lineage: Eukaryota; Metazoa; Arthropoda; Arachnida; Ixodida; Ixodidae.